RNAcentral lists this ribosomal RNA (497 nucleotides) under uncultured bacterium. RNAcentral describes it as "partial 16S ribosomal RNA". It matches the Rfam family "Bacterial small subunit ribosomal RNA", at positions 28 to 507 of the family's 1533-position model. The record is from RNAcentral.
GAUGAACGCUGGCGGCGUGCCUAAUACAUGCAAGUCGAGCGAACAGACGAGGAGCUUGCUCCUCUGACGUUAGCGGCGGACGGGUGAGUAACACGUGGAUAACCUACCUAUAAGACGGGGAUAACUUCGGGAAACCGGAGAUAAUACCGGAUAAUAUAUUGAACCGCAGGGUUGAAUGGUGAAAGACGGUGUUGCGGUCACUUAUAGAUGGAUCCUCGCCGCAUUAGGUAGUUGGUAAGGUAACGGCUUUCCAAGGCAACGAUGCGUAGCCGACCUCAGAGGGUGAUCGCCCACCUGGGAGGUGGGCCGCGGUCCAGACUCCUGCGGGACGCCGCAGUAGGGUAUCUGCCGCAGUGGGCGAGAGCCUUACGGAGCAACGCCGCGUGAGUGAUGACGGUCUUCGGAUCGUAAUACUCUGUUAUUAGGGAAGAACAAAUGUGUAAGUAACUAUGCACGUCUUGACGGUACCUAAUCAGAAAGCCACGGCUAACUACGUG